This is a long non-coding RNA of Vombatus ursinus (common wombat), 1397 nucleotides long. RefSeq lists it as uncharacterized. The record is from RefSeq and is a predicted model, not a curated record. The transcript is spliced from 3 exons. NCBI's taxonomy places the organism in Eukaryota, Metazoa, Chordata, Mammalia, Diprotodontia, Vombatidae.
UUACAUUUUUAAAAAUAAAAUAAAACGAUUGCAAAAAAAAAGAAACUGCUACAAAGCAUUUGCCCUACCAAGUUCAUUUUCAAGUGGAGCGUAGCUGAUGGCCAGCGAUCCCCUCGUUUGAUCCCGGCACCUUACUGCUGGGCUCCUCCAGUGAUGGCCUGGAUCAAGCAGGUUGCCGUUCGGGGCUGGCUCCUUCCCAGACUUAGCUCCUGGACUUCUGGCGGCUCUCUAGAACUUAGGCAAUCUCACAAGACCUUGAACCAUAUAAAGACAAAACCAGGAGGCAAACCGCUCCCAGACCCAGGCUUGUAGGGGGCUAGGGCCUCAUGGGCUAGCCCAGUGUGGGCAGGGGCCUUCUCCACUCCACACCAGACCUCUGGAGCUUAGAGCAUCGUGGUUACUCCUCACAGGCCAGAGGAAGGAAGGCGAGGGCAAGGUCCCCCUUUGGUGCCUUUGGUCUACGCCCUUUGCUCUGUCUCUGUAACCAACCAGAGGGACCUCUUCAGCACAAUGUAGGCGAACAGGUAACAGUCAUCAAACACCUGCAUGAGCUUGGAACCAGAAUCAAGUCCUUCAGGUCAACAACAUGGUGCCAAACGCACCCAUUCCCAAGACUGGGACUUUCUGGCCAGUCCCUUCAUUUCAUGGAGGGUGUUAUUUCUGUAACUGAGGACUCUUAAAACUACAAAUGCUCUCCCACGAUGGCCAGAAACACACUGGUAAACUCUUCUGAGCAAGACGCAUCGUCUUCCCCCGAGGUCACGCCUCAAGGUCUUGUCCUUGGCAGGGGUCAAGCCAAUUAGAGACAGGACACUUCUAAGGCUAUUUUGGUUGCUGGUUUCCCUGCUUACAUGGGCAAUUGAAGAAUUGCUGUAUUUUCCCUUAUAUUCCCAAACUACUGAGAAUAUAAGGAGGCUGUGCCUUCCCUUCUUAUCUAGCUCAGCACAGCCCUAGAAGGGAUCUAGAAAAUGGAAACAUCCUUACUAAGCAUCAAAGACAGCGGUGAAGCUUGAGAGCUAUGGUGGGAUGGGGUGGAGAGCAGAGACCUUUCUUCACCCCUCCCUGGCCAUCAAGAAUGACAACACCUGGCUUGUGCUGGUACCCCUCCCCCACCAGCUUGGGAGAGCCCAUUGUUCAACGAUUUCGAAAUGAAAAUGUCAUAGAUUCCCAAAUGUCAAUUUAUCUUUAAAAGAAACUACUUCUGCCUGUAGAGCCCAGAAAGGACAUAAUGUGAAGAGGAUGAGGCCAGACACAACAAUUGUAAAGAUAGUCAACCUUGGGAGACUGAGGAACUCUGACGGACACAGUGACCAGUCCCAAUUUCAGAGGACUCAUAAUGAAACAUGCUGCCCACCUCCAGACAAGAGAGCUGAUGGAUUCAGAGGGCAGAUUGAAGA